RNAcentral lists this ribosomal RNA (301 nucleotides) under uncultured bacterium. Its description in RNAcentral is "partial 16S ribosomal RNA". It matches the Rfam family "Bacterial small subunit ribosomal RNA", at positions 509 to 808 of the family's 1533-position model. The record is from RNAcentral.
CAGCAGCCACGGAAUACGAAGGGGGCUAGCGUUGCUCGGAAUUACUGGGCGUAAAGGGAGCGUAGGCGGACAUUUAAGUCAGGGGUGAAAUCCCAGAGCUCAACUCUGGAACUGCCUUUGAUACUGGGUGUCUUGAGUGUGAUAGAGGUAUGUGGAACUCCGAGUGUAGAGGUGAAAUUCGUAGAUAUUCGGAAGAACACCAGUGGCGAAGGCGACAUACUGGAUCAUUACUGACGCUGAGGCUCGAAAGCGUGGGGAGCAAACAGGAUUAGAUACCCGAGUAGUCCCUGUCUCUUAUACA